Long non-coding RNA from Hemiscyllium ocellatum (epaulette shark), 1404 nucleotides. RefSeq lists it as uncharacterized. The transcript has 3 exons. The record is from RefSeq and is a predicted model, not a curated record. NCBI's taxonomy places the organism in Eukaryota, Metazoa, Chordata, Chondrichthyes, Orectolobiformes, Hemiscylliidae.
CGUCAGAACCUCGUCUUAUUUACAUUGCAGUUUGCCACGGAAUAUGCCUGCAAGGGCUAUCCUUUCUAAAAUAAAACAUGAAAUGGGGGAAACAAGCACCAUUAAAAUUAUUUAAACGAAUCUGUAGUAAGAAGUUAUGUUUAUGACUACACGCCUGUUCGGUGCUAAGCCUCCAAGCUGACAUUGCGAAAAUGUUAGCAGUGCAGUGUCGAAACAGCAGUGUGGGUACCGGAUUGCAAAUACCUGGAGAAAUACACCACUGUACAUUGCAUACAUUGCACUGAUAUAUGCACCUUACAUUUCGUGCAAGUUGCAAUCUUAUAAUUCUUUGGAAAUAGGAGACCCACGCAGUCAACUUUGUCCAUGACCUUCCCAUACGGUGGAGCGAUAUCAUAGACUUCUAGUCCCAGUCCUUUCUGGGGGGACAGAAACGAUUAAGCGUCAUUGAUUAUUGUCAUGGAGAAGGCGUCAAGCUUUGCAUUAAGUUGCAGUCGUAACGUGACAUUCCCGGGAAAUGGCCUUUUCAAGUUAGUACAGUGAAGACAGUCUGACCUCAGGAUAUAAGGAUGGCUUACAGCACGUUUCGCCAGACAGCACGAGGCAAACUAUGCAAAGGUAGCGGGGGACGGGCUGGAAGGAUGUUUUUAUUUCAUCCGUAGCUGUAAAUUGUUGCUUGAAUUUUGUACGCAAGUUUCAAGUCAGCCACCACCCACAAGGCACGGACAAAGCAUCGUUCUACAUUUUGUGCGAUGUUGGUAAUGUAAACAGAGUGAAAAAAAACAAAGUACCAUCAAAGGAUCAACCAUUCUGGUUUUCAGUCAGGCUGUGUAUUGCAGAAUGCAAAGUUUCUUGAUCUUGCAAGUUGCAUCUUGGUGUCUGAGAGGAUGAAAGGCGACCACAAAAUGGAAGAGCAGAGCCAGCUAUCAGUCCAUCCGGCCUGCUCCAUCACUCAGUAAGGUCAUGGCUGUUUGAGUGCUGGGUACCUCUUUGUUUAUGAUUUAUGUAAAAAUACAGAAGAAAAUGUGGGGGGUUAGUCAGUAAGUUGGGGUGUUUGGUUGGCAGGUUGAUGGAGAACAUGAAGGUCUUAGCUUGCAGGAUAACAUAGAUGGAUUGGUCAUUUGAACAGACCAGCGGCAGAUGCAAUUUAACCCAGAGAAGUUUGAGGUGAUGCAUUUUAGAAGAAGUAACAAGAGAAGGGAACAUUGAAUGAAUGGCAGCUCACCUUGGAAGAUCAGAAGAACCAAGGGAACUUGUCCACAUGCCCCUGAAGGCAGCAGGACUGAUUAAUAAUGUAGUUAAGAAAACUUAUGGGACACUAUAUCAGUUGUGACAUCGAGUAUAAAAACAAGGAGGUUAUGUUGGAGCUUUGAGUAAAAAAUGAGGUCUGCAGAUUCUGGAGAUCAC